RNAcentral lists this ribosomal RNA (483 nucleotides) under uncultured bacterium. RNAcentral's name for it is "partial 16S ribosomal RNA". It matches the Rfam family "Bacterial small subunit ribosomal RNA", at positions 28 to 507 of the family's 1533-position model. The record is from RNAcentral.
GAUGAACGCUAGCGGCAGGCCUAAUACAUGCAAGCCGAACGGCAAGUUUGAUAGCACUUUUGGACUUAGAGUGGCGCAAGGGUGCGUAACACGUAUGCAACCUGCGCCCGACAGGAGGAUAGCCCCCCGAAAGGGGAAUUAACCCACCAUAACACCAGGAGAAGGACUCUGAUUAUGGUUAAACCGUAAAGUGUCGCGGAUGGGCACGCGGUUGAUUAGGUAGUUGGCAGGGUAAAGGCCCACCAAGGCGCAGAUCAAUAGGGGUUGGGAGAGGAAGGACACCGACACUGGAACUGAGACACGGGCCAGACGGCUGCAGGAGGAAGGAAUAAGGAGUAUUGGACGAUGGUUUGAAGACUGACCCAGCCAUGCCGCGUGCAGGAAGAAGGAAUUCUGGGGCGUAAACUGCUUGUAGAUGUUGAUAAAAUACACGUGCGCGGGGAAUUGACGGUAACAGGAGAAUAAGCCACGGCUAACUACGUG